RNAcentral lists this ribosomal RNA (1134 nucleotides) under Bacillus sp. (in: firmicutes). Its description in RNAcentral is "bacterial SSU rRNA". It matches the Rfam family "Bacterial small subunit ribosomal RNA", at positions 141 to 1262 of the family's 1533-position model. The record is from RNAcentral. Lineage: Bacteria; Bacillati; Bacillota; Bacilli; Caryophanales; Bacillaceae.
GGAUAACUCCGGGAAACCGGAGCUAAUACCGGAUAGUUCCUUGAACCGCAUGGUUCAAGGAUGAAAGACGGUUUCGGCUGUCACUUACAGAUGGACCCGCGGCGCAUUAGCUAGUUGGUGAGGUAACGGCUCACCAAGGCGACGAUGCGUAGCCGACCUGAGAGGGUGAUCGGCCACACUGGGACUGAGACACGGCCCAGACUCCUACGGGAGGCAGCAGUAGGGAAUCUUCCGCAAUGGACGAAAGUCUGACGGAGCAACGCCGCGUGAGUGAUGAAGGUUUUCGGAUCGUAAAGCUCUGUUGUUAGGGAAGAACAAGUGCAAGAGUAACUGCUUGCACCUUGACGGUACCUAACCAGAAAGCCACGGCUAACUACGUGCCAGCAGCCGCGGUAAUACGUAGGUGGCAAGCGUUGUCCGGAAUUAUUGGGCGUAAAGGGCUCGCAGGCGGUUUCUUAAGUCUGAUGUGAAAGCCCCCGGCUCAACCGGGGAGGGUCAUUGGAAACUGGGAAACUUGAGUGCAGAAGAGGAGAGUGGAAUUCCACGUGUAGCGGUGAAAUGCGUAGAGAUGUGGAGGAACACCAGUGGCGAAGGCGACUCUCUGGUCUGUAACUGACGCUGAGGAGCGAAAGCGUGGGGAGCGAACAGGAUUAGAUACCCUGGUAGUCCACGCCGUAAACGAUGAGUGCUAAGUGUUAGGGGGUUUCCGCCCCUUAGUGCUGCAGCUAACGCAUUAAGCACUCCGCCUGGGGAGUACGGUCGCAAGACUGAAACUCAAAGGAAUUGACGGGGGCCCGCACAAGCGGUGGAGCAUGUGGUUUAAUUCGAAGCAACGCGAAGAACCUUACCAGGUCUUGACAUCCUCUGACAACCCUAGAGAUAGGGCUUUCCCUUCGGGGACAGAGUGACAGGUGGUGCAUGGUUGUCGUCAGCUCGUGUCGUGAGAUGUUGGGUUAAGUCCCGCAACGAGCGCAACCCUUGAUCUUAGUUGCCAGCAUUCAGUUGGGCACUCUAAGGUGACUGCCGGUGACAAACCGGAGGAAGGUGGGGAUGACGUCAAAUCAUCAUGCCCCUUAUAACCUGGGCUACACACGUGCUACAAUGUACAGAGGAAAGGGGUGCUAGACCGCGAGG